This 138-nucleotide ribosomal RNA is filed under the name uncultured bacterium. RNAcentral's name for it is "partial 16S ribosomal RNA". It matches the Rfam family "Bacterial small subunit ribosomal RNA", at positions 355 to 507 of the family's 1533-position model. The record is from RNAcentral.
UGGGGAAUAUUGGACAAUGGGGGGAACCCUGAUCCAGCGACGCCGCGUGAGUGAAGAAGUAUUUCGGUAUGUAAAGCUCUGUCAGCAGGGAAGAAAGCAAUGACGGUACCUGACCAAGAAGCCCCGGCUAACUACGUG